AGCCCUUGUUAUUCGCGCAUCGCUUGCACAGUCUGAAGCCGGUGUGCGUGUGACAGCGGCUGU
This 63-nucleotide microRNA precursor is filed under the name Eptatretus burgeri (inshore hagfish). RNAcentral describes it as "Ebu-Mir-210_pre stem-loop". The record is from RNAcentral. Lineage: Eukaryota; Metazoa; Chordata; Myxini; Myxiniformes; Myxinidae.